GGGAAGGGGAGAGUUUUUGAAGGUUUUUUUUGUUUUUUUUUAUUUAAAAAGACUUAAAAUGAAAAUUUUUGGGGAGAGUUAGUGGCUUAAAUAGCCCUUCAAAAGGGCGUCGUUUUGUGGGUCGACCCGAAUCUGACCCGACCUGGCCUAGGAUUCGCGUGUUUUUGAGCGGAGGAGUAAAUUACGCUUUUAGCCCCUCCACCUUUUUAAUAUUUUUACAAUUAGGUUUUUUUAAUUUUUAAAUUCGCCCUUUAAUUUAU
This 260-nucleotide long non-coding RNA is filed under the name Gossypium raimondii (Peruvian cotton). Its description in RNAcentral is "long non-coding RNA (GRAI_LNC004194)". Lineage: Eukaryota; Viridiplantae; Streptophyta; Magnoliopsida; Malvales; Malvaceae. The record is from RNAcentral.